Gavialis gangeticus (Gharial) is the source of this 189-nucleotide long non-coding RNA. RefSeq lists it as uncharacterized. The transcript is spliced from 4 exons. Lineage: Eukaryota; Metazoa; Chordata; Crocodylia; Gavialidae. The record is from RefSeq and is a predicted model, not a curated record.
CUGAGCAGUAGCUUCUGCAAUUAGUGCCCACAUUUUAUUUGUGAUAGGAAUCACUCUUAAUUAGAUUAACUUGUACCAUGUCUGAGUCUGGAAUUCUGUCAUUUUCUGUUGUGUCAUAUGCUCUGGACAAUGCAUCUGCAAUAAAUAGAUGUUUCCUGGCAUGUACUUUCUAUCUUGGUCAGAGGUGGG